RNAcentral lists this ribosomal RNA (292 nucleotides) under uncultured eukaryote. RNAcentral describes it as "partial 18S ribosomal RNA". It matches the Rfam family "Eukaryotic small subunit ribosomal RNA", at positions 6 to 290 of the family's 1831-position model. The record is from RNAcentral.
GGUUGAUCCUGCCAGCAAUCAUAUGCUUGUUUCAAAGAUUAAGCCAUGCAAGUCUAAGUAUAAGUGAUUAUAUAGCGAAACUGCAGAUGGCUCAUUAUAUCAGUAAUAACCUACUUGAUUAAUCUGUUUAUUUGGAUAACUGUAGGAAUUCUAGAGCUAAUACAUGCAAAAAGAUUGGAUUGAGAGGGGGGUAAAACUCCCUUUUGAGAAAAUCGCACUUAUCAGCCAAGAAAUCAUAUUUUAAUAUUCAGGUGAAUCAUGAUAAGAACUUUUUUUGAUUUCGGUCAAAAAA